AUUGUUGUCCGUCCUCUUCAGUACUUUGGAAAUGUGAGUAAGACUGUGUCUGAACUGAGAGAAACUAGAAAACUUCCUUAAAGGAGAAUGGACCAAGAUCUCCACUACAGUGAAUAUAGUGGAUGUUGUACUGCCUCCAGAGCCCAAGACCAGAGAACAGUUGUUACAAUAUUCCUGUCAGCUCACACUGGACCCAAACACAGCACACACACACCUC
Long non-coding RNA from Salvelinus namaycush (lake trout), 217 nucleotides. RefSeq lists it as uncharacterized. The record is from RefSeq and is a predicted model, not a curated record. Lineage: Eukaryota; Metazoa; Chordata; Actinopteri; Salmoniformes; Salmonidae. The transcript has 3 exons.